CGGAACACGUACGCAAUCUACCCAAAACUGAUGAAUAGCCCUCCGAAAGGAGGAUUAAUACAUCGUAACCUGAUAGAGUAGCAUUACUUUAUUAGUAUAGCUCCGGCGGUUUUGGAUGAGCGUGCGCCUGAUUAGGUAGUUGGCGGGGUAACGGCCCACCAAGCCUGCGAUCAGUAACUGGUGUGAGAGCACGACCAGUCACACGGGCACUGAGACACGGGCCCG
This 225-nucleotide ribosomal RNA is filed under the name uncultured bacterium. Its description in RNAcentral is "partial 16S ribosomal RNA". It matches the Rfam family "Bacterial small subunit ribosomal RNA", at positions 109 to 334 of the family's 1533-position model. The record is from RNAcentral.